CUUUUGUAAUAUUAUGACUUUUAUUCAUUAAAAACAUGAGAGGGGGGUUCAUAGGCUUUAAUAGACUUUUGAAGGGGUUCAGGCAAAAAAAAAGAGUUUAAGAACCCCUGGACUAGAAUAAUAGAGCUUCUCUCUCUUUCUCUCUCUUUUCAAUUUCAAAUCAGCUAUUUUGUACUUUCCUAUUCUUUAUAGGGAUUCCUUAGAGCUUUAAGAUGCCAUUUGUACUAAAUAUUCUUAAAUUUUUGGGAACUAUUAUGUGACCCUGUGUUUUUCCAUUGUUGUUUAAUUUAGGAUUUGCCCCAAUAUCUGGACUUAAAGGAAAACAUGUUUUGUUGUCUAUGACAGGAGUCCUGACCUUGGAGAAACGCAACCACCAAUCUCAUAGGAUUCCAUUGUUUGAGUCAUUGACCAGAACAAGCAGCUCAUAAUGCAGUGAGGAUGUGCACAGAUGGGAACCACUUCAGAAGCCAGAGAGAAAAAUCUCAUGCUACUCACACACUCUUUCACCUAAAAUCCAGAGGGCACUUGCUGCAGCAGAUGCAGAAAUAAAAACACAAUUGAAAAAGGUGGAAAGACUUCAUAAUAUGUGAAAUCUUGUUUUAGCCCUAUGUGCCUAAGGGGAGCACAGACUAGACCCUACGGAGGUUUUGCAAGUAAGAGACAUCACAGGUUCCUGCACAGCCUCAGAGAACAAUACUGCUGGCCCUUUCUCUGAGGAAAUACAUUCCAAGACCUGUUGUGGAUGGCUGAGUGAACAUUUGCUGAUUUCAUCUAUCUGUUCUCUCUCUCUUCACUCCUGUCCCUUAACUUGGUGUUCCACUGUGUCCCAAACUACCCACAACCAUCCCCCCAAAUCUUUGAAUAAAUGAAAGCAAAAGUGAAAGCAGAAGAAAUAAUCAGAGUUGUGCUUUAUGGGCAGACUUCCAGAGCUUCACAGUUGGAAAUCUGAGUUGAAGCUCUUCAACCACCAUAGUAGAAAUGUGCGGAACUACUGAGA
RNAcentral lists this long non-coding RNA (997 nucleotides) under Monodelphis domestica (gray short-tailed opossum). Its description in RNAcentral is "lncRNA (ENSMODG00000038077.1)". Lineage: Eukaryota; Metazoa; Chordata; Mammalia; Didelphimorphia; Didelphidae. The record is from RNAcentral.